This 511-nucleotide ribosomal RNA is filed under the name uncultured bacterium. RNAcentral describes it as "bacterial SSU rRNA". It matches the Rfam family "Bacterial small subunit ribosomal RNA", at positions 29 to 533 of the family's 1533-position model. The record is from RNAcentral.
AACGAACGCUGGCGGCGCGCCUAACACAUGCAAGUCGAACGAGAAUCCGGGGCAACCCGGUAGUAAAGUGGCAAACGGGUGAGGAAUACAUGGGUAACCUACCCUUGAGAAGGGAAUAACCCGCCGAAAGGUGAGCUAAUACCCUAUACGCUAUCUUUUUUUCGAAAAGGAUAGGAAAGCCGGGUCGAGGACCUGGUACUCAAGGAGGGGCUCAUGUCCUAUCAGCUUGUUGGUGGGGUAACGGCCUACCAAGGCUACGACGGGUAGCUGGUCUGAGAGGAUGAUCAGCCACACUGGCACUGAGAUACGGGCCAGACUCCUACGGGAGGCAGCAGUGAGGAAUAUUGCGCAAUGGGCGAAAGCCUGACGCAGCGACGCCGCGUGGGGGAUGAAGGUUUUCGGAUUGUAAACCCCUUUCAUGAGGAAAGAUAAAGUGGGUAACCACUUAGACGGUACCUCAAGAAGAAGCCACGGCUAACUUCGUGCCAGCAGCCGCGUAAAGUCUAGCAUG